This 506-nucleotide ribosomal RNA is filed under the name uncultured bacterium. RNAcentral's name for it is "partial 16S ribosomal RNA". It matches the Rfam family "Bacterial small subunit ribosomal RNA", at positions 28 to 523 of the family's 1533-position model. The record is from RNAcentral.
GAUGAACGCUAGCUACAGGCUUAACACAUGCAAGUCGAGGGGUAACGAGAGGAAAGCUUGCUUUCCUUGUCGACGACCGGCGCACGGGUGAGUAACGCGUAUCCAACCUGCCCCCAACUAGGGAAUAACCUUGCGAAAGUAAGACUAAUACCCUAUGAUUUCCUUUGAUGACAUCAGAUUAGGAAUAAAGAUUUAUCGGUUAUAGAUGGGGAUGCGUCUGAUUAGCUUGUUGGCGGGGUAACGGCCCACCAAGGCAACGAUCAGUAGGGGUUCUGAGAGGAAGGUCCCCCACAUUGGAACUGAGACACGGUCCAAACUCCUACGGGAGGCAGCAGUGAGGAAUAUUGGUCAAUGGGCGGAAGCCUGAACCAGCCAAGUAGCGUGCAGGAUGACGGCCCUAUGGGUUGUAAACUGCUUUUAUACAGGAAUAAAGUUAGCCACGUGUGGUUAUUUGUAGGUACUGUAUGAAUAAGGACCGGCUAAUUCCGUGCCAGCAGCCGCCGUAA